Molecule: ribosomal RNA, 440 nt
Filed under: uncultured bacterium
Lineage: Bacteria
Description: partial 16S ribosomal RNA
Rfam family: Bacterial small subunit ribosomal RNA
Source: RNAcentral
CCUACGGGUGGCAGCAGUGGGGAAUAUUGCACAAUGGGGGGAACCCUGAUGCAGCGACGCCGCGUGAGUGAAGAAGUAUUUCGGUAUGUAAAGCUCUAUCAGCAGGGAAGAAAAUGACGGUACCUAACUAAGAAGCCCCGGCUAACUACGUGCCAGCAGCCGCGGUAAUACGUAGGGGGCAAGCGUUAUCCGGAUUUACUGGGUGUAAAGGGAGCGUAGACGGUUAUGCAAGUCUGAAGUGAAAGCCCCAGGCUCAACCAUGGGACUGCUUUGGAAACUGUAAAACUGGAGUGCAGGAGAGGUAAGCGGAAUUCCUAGUGUAGCGGUGAAAUGCGUAGAUAUUAGGAGGAACACCAGUGGCGAAGGCGGCUUACUGGACUGUAACUGACGUUGAGGCUCGAAGGCGUGGGGAGCAAACAGGAUUAGAUACCCGAGUAGUC